This 490-nucleotide ribosomal RNA is filed under the name uncultured bacterium. Its description in RNAcentral is "bacterial SSU rRNA". It matches the Rfam family "Bacterial small subunit ribosomal RNA", at positions 23 to 507 of the family's 1533-position model. The record is from RNAcentral.
CUCAGAUUGAACGCUGGCGGAAUGCUUUACACAUGCAAGUCGAACGGCAGCACGGACUUCGGGUCUGGUGGCGAGUGGCGAACGGGUGAGUAAUAUAUCGGAACGUGCCCAGUCGUGGGGGAUAACGUAGUGAAAAUUACGCUAAUACCGCAUACGAUCUAAGGAUGAAAGCGGGGGAUCGCAAGACCUCGCGCGAUUGGAGCGGCCGAUAUCAGAUUAGGUAGUUGGUGAGGUAAAGGCUCACCAAGCCAACGAUCUGUAGCUGGUCUGAGAGGACGACCAGCCACACUGGAACUGAGACACGGUCCAGACUCCUACGGGAGGCAGCAGUGGGGAAUUUUGGACAAUGGGCGCAAGCCUGAUCCAGCAAUGCCGCGUGCAGGAAGAAGGCCUUCGGGUUGUAAACUGCUUUUGUACGGAGCGAAAAAGCUCUCUCUAAUACAGGGGGCUCAUGACGGUACCGUAAGAAUAAGCACCGGCUAACUACGUG